CUUGAGCUGGGACAUCAUUUCUUUCCUGGCUUCAGACUGGAACUGAAACAUCUGCUCUUCUUGGGUCUUGAGCCUCCUGGCCUUUGAACUUGAACUACGUCAUUGGUUCUUCUGGCUUCAGGCCUUCAGACUCAGACGGGAACCACACCACCACAUCAUCAGUUCUCCUGAGGAUUCAGCUUGCUGACUGCAGAUCUUGGGACUCGUCAGCCUCUGUAAUCAUUCAAUAGUGACUGCUUCCACAUGCCCUGAAGAGGAAACUGCUAUAUUGAUUUCCAGCACCAUCUUUCAGGUUUGCCUGUUCUUGAACUGCAUACAGGUAGGAUUGUAUAGUAUGGACUCUCUCUGUUUGGAUUCUUUUGCCCAGCAUAAUGUUUGUGAGAUUUAUCCAUGUUAUUUCAUAUAUUAAUAGUCCAUUCUUUUUUUUGUUGAUGUCAAUUUUCGUUUGUAAUAUUCUAUUGCAAGAACACAUCACAAUUUAUAUAUAGAUUUUCUGUAGAUGGAUUUUUGGGUUGUUCUAGCCUUACCUAUCAUGAAUAAAGCUUCUAGUACCUUAUGUCUUUUUGUUGUGUUUCCAAAUUCCUGGCAUAUAGUAAUCUUUGGGAUUUGAGAAUGACAAAUCAGAAUUCCUGAAACCAUAGGCUAUUCUGUAUUUUUUUAUAACAUUUUAUUUAUAUGUUUUAAAAUAAUAAUGAGUGCUCAUAAUAAAUAAAAUCACUCACUGUUUUGUGUGUGUGAUGGGAUUAUGCUAAAAGUUUCAAAGAUUUUUUUUUUUGGUUUAAAAAUGACAUAAUAAUAAAUGCAUGAUUAUUAUUAUAAAUCAAUAUAUUAUGAUAAGAUCGUAUAUUUCAACAUCAUGUAAAUAUAAUCUAUACCUGAUAAAGAAUUCGAUAUCAGAGAACAUUAAAAGAAAGAAAUAUCAGGACCAGCCCCAUGGCCAGAGUGGUUAAAGUUCCACACCCUCCACUUUGGCAGCCUGGGUUUGCAGGGUCAGAUCCCAGGUGCACACCUACUCCACUCAUCCGCCAUGCUGUGGCAGCAUCCCACAUACAAAGUGGAAGACUGGCACAGAUGUUAGCUCAGGGCUAAUCUUCCUCAAGCAAAAAAGCAGGAAGAUAGGCAAUGGAUGUUGGCUCAAGGCAAUCUUCCUCAGCAAACAAAAAGGAAAGAAAGACAGAAAGGUUAACACAAGAUAAAUGUCAAAUAAUCAUUUUAAAGAUGGAAAGACAAUACCGCAAAUAUUUAAAAGUUAUUCUUAAAGUAAAAUUUUAAAAUGCUCAAGGCCUGUGAUUUACCUAUCUGGUAACCUUGGUCUUUGUUUCGUGACAAAUAUUCAAGAGGUGUAACAAUUUUUUUUUCAUUUUUGUCA
Molecule: long non-coding RNA, 1369 nt
Filed under: Equus caballus (horse)
Lineage: Eukaryota; Metazoa; Chordata; Mammalia; Perissodactyla; Equidae
Description: lncRNA (ENSECAG00000046876.1)
Source: RNAcentral